UCUGGUGUCCUUGGCGUAGAGGAACCACACCAAUCCAUCCUGAACUUGGUGGUUAAACUCUACUGCGGUGACGAUACUAUAGGGGAGGUCUUGCGGAAAAAUAGCUUGACGCCAGGA
This 117-nucleotide ribosomal RNA is filed under the name Helianthus annuus (common sunflower). The record is from RNAcentral. Lineage: Eukaryota; Viridiplantae; Streptophyta; Magnoliopsida; Asterales; Asteraceae.